Molecule: unclassified non-coding RNA, 1466 nt
Filed under: Hevea brasiliensis (rubber tree)
Lineage: Eukaryota; Viridiplantae; Streptophyta; Magnoliopsida; Malpighiales; Euphorbiaceae
Source: RNAcentral
GGAAAAUAUUACCCGUUUUAAGAAGUUCUCAAUAUAAUUAUACAAGAUUUUCUACACAACCGAGCAUUUUCUGGGAUUGUAUUUCGACGAAUCACCCCUCAUAGCUUAUUAGUGAAGUACAGUACUAAUGUAAGAUCAAAAAAGAAGAAAGAGCAAUUAGUUCUCUCUUCAGCAUUCGAAUCUAGCAAACAACAAAAACUGAAAAAUACACAAAAAGAAAGUCGCAUCAAAGCAAAGUGUGCUUAGUAGGUGUAGCCCUUGACAAACAUUCCCUUCUUGGCUUCCUCACUUUCACCUUCUGCGGAGUAUUUUCCGAGCUGAGCCAAGGAGUUUGCUUUUGCACGAAUCAAGAGUGCCCUCUGUGCAGCAUCCACAUUCUCAGGACGUCCUUGCCAUGUCUUGAGCACUGUGUUCUGGAGUGCUCUUGCAUAUGAGAAAGAUACAUGCCAUGGGUUGGGGCUCUGGUUCAUUUCGUGGAGGUUGAGUGUCGCUUCCACUUCAGAUUGUCCUCCGGACAGAAACAUGAUUCCAGGAACUGCAGGAGGAACUCUUCUCCUCAACAUGGUAAGUGUGUAUUUAGCAAUGGUUUCUGGGGUAGCCUUCUCUUUGUGUUCAGCACCAGGAGUAACCAUGCUAGGUUUGAGCAAAAUACCUUCAAAAACGACAUUGUUUUCUGCUAGGUAGUAGAAGACUUCUGCCCAAACACGUUCCGCAACUUCAAGGGUUCGUUCUAUUGGGUGGUCACCAUCCAAAAGAAUCUCAGGCUCUACUAUUGGCACUAAACCAUUGUCCUGAGAUAUAGCAGCAUAUCGAGCAAGACCCCAAGCUGCUUCUUUUACAGCCAAAGCAGAAGGACCGCAAGGAAUGCUAACAACUGUUCUCCACUUGGCAAAACGUGCCCCUUGCUUGUAGUAUUCAGCAGACCUAGAAGCCAAUCCAUCCAAUCCUUGGCACCAGGAUUCAUUGUUGGAUCCUGGUAGGGGAACCAAACCCUUGUCAACUUUGAUUCCAGGUACAAUCUUCUGAUCGCGCAAGACAUCAACAAACUUCUUCCCAUCGGUAGUGGACUGGAAAAGUGUCUCUUCGAAUAGAAUGGAUCCAGAGAUGUAAUCACCUAGGCCAGGAGUGGUCAACAAGAGUUGACGGUAAGCUUGUCUGUUUGCUUCUGUGUUGUCCAGACCAAUUGACGCCAGUCUCUUUCCGGCAGUUGCAUUCGAUUCAUCAAUGGCAAGGAUGCCCCUUCCAGGAGAAGCAAUAGUUUUAGCGGUUUUGAUGAGCUCAUCGGUGUAAGAUCCAGCAGCACGGAUGACUGAAACACGGCGAUUCGAAACAGGCAACCGGCAGGAAGAUCCAGACCGUUGAUUGAACGAUUGUUGACCGAUCCAUGAAGAUGACGAUGCGUUGAGCUUCACCAAACUAGAACUCGCCAUUUUUUUCUCCUGAAAAUCGCCUCUUUUUUCUCUCUC